UUGUAUAGUUGUAUAUAUUUUCUCCUUGCUUGGGCGUAAAUGAUGUAAAAUAUUGUAAUGUAAAAUUCUGUCUCCUUGUUUAGGAUAGCUAUGGAAAUGGAUGGAAUGCAAAUAUAUAAAGCAACAAAUGACAAUUAAUGCCCUCUUAAUGGAAAGACAGUGUUUUGUUAAGGGAAAAUUGGACUCUUAUAAAAUUAUUAAGGUUCUGGGUGAUCAUUGAUCAAUGCAAUUUGUGCUCAAAUUAUCAUAAUAUUCAUUCUAGAAGAUUUCUAACCUUUCCAAUAUCUUCCUGAAGGAACUACGUUAGACAAUUAUCAUCAGUUAAAAAUCUUAAUAAAAGAAACACACCAAAGCAAAGACUACUAUCAUCACAGAAAUCUUAGUCCAUGGUUAAUUGGUUAUCUCCUGAUUAGUAAGUGUAGAAUUAGUUUCCACAAAUGUUGGGGCCUAAUGUUUCAUAAUGGAAAUUAUGCAUAACUUGCUGCAGUGUCUUUCCAUAAUAUACCGAGCUUCAAACCAAGAGAUGUUAACUAGACACAAUAUCUUUCCAAGGCAAUUAUGGAUCACCUGAGUUCCUCGUUCUCCUUUUAAGUGAAAAAUUAUUGCAAGUUUUGAGUCUUCAAGAAAAAGAAGUGAAUCAACUAUCUUAUAAAAAGAGAGAAAAGUAUAUGAGAUUUGUGGGUAGUAGGAUUUUAUUGCAGGACUUUUCCCGACAAUAUUUGUAUGCCCUCUUAAUGGAAAAGUAUAUGCAUUAUGCUUAUUACAUGGAUUAUAAAUUUGUUGAAAUUUAAUCUUAUAUUAUGAACUCUAUAUUUGAUCAUAUAUUGAUUUAUUAAUUUAAUUCAUAGGUCAUAUAUGGCUCAUUCAACUUCAAGUUCAGGAUCUAGUAGCAGUAUUUCAUCAAAAAAUAAGGAUGAGAAAAAUAGUCCAUUAUGGAAAUAUGUGACUAGAAUGGAAAAAAUGGGAGAAGGAGGGGGUAGUUGGAAAUGGACUUGCAACUUUUGUGGUUUGCAAAAAUUUGGGACAUACACAAGAGUUAGGGCUCAUCUAUUAAGUAUCAGUGGGAAAGGAAUUGCUUAUUGUAAAAAGCUAAGUCCUGAAAUUAUAGUUGAGAUGAAAAAAGUUGAAAGAGAAGUUGAAGAAAGAUUAUCAAGUUUACAACAUAAUCAAGUGCCAUUACCAACUAGUAGUGUUUCUUUGGGGCCUUCUUUGUCCUUACAUGAACCAAGUGUUUUAGAACAUUUAAAGAAAAGAAAAUCCAUGGAUUCACCUCUUGCGAAAACUUUUGACAUGCAAACUAGAGCACAAUUAGAUGCUGAGAUUGCUAGGAUGUUUUAUACUGGGGGUUUGCCUUUUAAUCUUGCUAGAAACCCAUAUUAUCCGAGUUCUUAUUCAUUUGCUGCUAAUCAUCCAUUAAGUGGUUAUGUGCCUCCGGGUUAUAAUAAGUUAAGGACCACAUUACUUCAACAAGAAAAGGCAAAUGUUGAAAAAUUGCUAGAACCUAUUAAAAGCACUUGGUUGGGAAAAGGUGUUAGCAUUGUUACUGAUGGUUGGAGUGACCCACAAAGAAGACCCUUGAUUAAUUUUUUGGUUGUUUCUAAAAAUGGUCCAAUGUUUAUCAAAUCUGUGAAUUGUUCAGGUGAAGUAAAGGAUAAACAAUUUAUUGUUAAUUUGAUGAAAGAGGUAAUAGAUGAAGUUGGUGACCAAAAAGUUGUACAAAUUAUUAUUGAUAAUGCUGCUAAUUGCAAGGGAGCUGGGGAAAUCAUUGAGGGUAUGUUUCCACAUAUUUAUUGGACUCCUUGUAUUGUCCAUACACUUAAUCUUGCUUUGAAGAAUAUAUGUGCAUCUAGGAAUUUAGAAAGUAAUCAAGAGACAUAUGAUGAGUGUCAUUGGAUCACUGAAGUGCAUGGAGAUGCUUUGGUCAUAAAUGUUUUUAUAAUAAAUCAUUUAAUGAGAUUGGCCAUGUUCAAUCGGUUUAGUUCUUUGAAGUUGCUUGCAAUUGCUGACACUCGAUUUGCUUCUAUUGUUGUUAUGCUUAAAAGAUUUAAACUUCUUAGACGUGCACUUGAAGCAAUGGUUAUGAGUGAUGAAUGGGCACAAUAUCGAGAUGAUGACCAAGGAAAAGCUCGAUUUGUUCGUGAAUUGAUUGUGAAUGAGAAUUUUCGGGAAAAAAUUAAUUAUAUUCUCGCUUUCAGAGCACCUAUUUAUGAUAUGCUUAGAGUUUGUGAUACAAACAAACCAUGCCUUCAUUUGGUUUAUGAGAUGUGAGAUUCUAUGAUUUUCAACAUGAAAAAGGUUAUUUAUGAUCAUGAAGGCAAGCUACCAAGUGAUUUUUCAUCAUUUUUUUCAUGUCAUUCAUCGUAUUCUUCUUGCUCGUUGGACAAAACAUAGCACUCCAUUACAUUGUCUAGCUCAUUCUUUGAACCUGAGGUAUUAUAGUGAUAAAUGGCUUCAAGAAAAAGAAGGUAGAAUGCCUCCGCAUAUGGAUGGAGAUGUCUCCACACAAAGAAUGAAGUGUUUUAGGAGACUUUUUCCUAAUCCAGAUGAGCGUGCUAUUGUUGAUGAUGAGUUUGCUGAUUUUUCUCUCAAAAGUGGGCCAUUUGGAGACCCAGAUGCUAUCUUGAAUAGCUAUAAACCUAGGAAAUGGUGGGCAUGUUAUGGUUCACGUGCUCCUUUGCUUCAAAGGUUAGCUUUUAAGGUGCUUGGACAACCUACUUCUUCAUCUUGUUCUGAAAGGAAUUGGAGUACUUAUUCUUUCGGUCAUUCAUUUAGAAGGAAUAAAUUAACUCCAAAACGUGCAGAGGAUUUGGUCUUUGUUCAUAACAAUCUUCGUCUUUUAUCGAGAAACACCUCCCAAUAUUAUGACGAGAAGACAAAGAUGUGGGAUAUAGGUGGAGAUGAAUUUGGAAGUAUGGAAGAUGUGGGUAUUCUCGAAUUUGCUAAUCUCUCCUUAGAUGAACCCGAGUUGGAGUCUGUACUCUUUGACGAAGAUAUUAGCCAGUUUAUAGAGACAUAGCGUGAUGAACUGAAUGAACUUUUAUAAACUAGAUUAUGUUUGAUUCUGUUAUUUAAAUUCUAUGUUUGUUUUUAAUUACUAAGUCAUGUAAGGAUAAUAUAACUUUCUAAAUAUUGUUGAUGGUUAUUUGAAUGCAUUG
Molecule: RNA transcript, 3155 nt
Organism: Diospyros lotus (date-plum)
Lineage: Eukaryota; Viridiplantae; Streptophyta; Magnoliopsida; Ericales; Ebenaceae
Exons: 2
Source: RefSeq, a predicted model, not a curated record